This is a non-coding RNA of Mycena sp. CBHHK59/15, 92 nucleotides long. Lineage: Eukaryota; Fungi; Basidiomycota; Agaricomycetes; Agaricales; Mycenaceae. The record is from the annotation of a GenBank genome assembly.
GGCACUGUGACGGAGUGGUUAACGUGAGAGAUUAGAACUCAUUAGCGAUCUCUUCCUCUCUGAGGGCACAGGUUCGAAUCCUGUCAGUGUCG